Molecule: long non-coding RNA, 273 nt
Organism: Piliocolobus tephrosceles (Ugandan red Colobus)
Lineage: Eukaryota; Metazoa; Chordata; Mammalia; Primates; Cercopithecidae
Exons: 3
Source: RefSeq, a predicted model, not a curated record
UCUUGUCAUCUUGGUCUGUCAGUUUUGUCUCCUCAAAUCUGGAAUUUGGACUGGCUUUGCCUUGCUGCCCUUCCUUGCGACACUGGCCCGGAAUCCCUCAAGGCUAGGGGGAAAUCCAGUCCCUGUUACUCCAUUUUGGCCAGAAAUUCAAGACAUUUCAGGCAGCAGAAUAAAUUCAAUCCUUGGUUCUCCAUCUUGUCCACUAGUAGAAGUUAGUUGUAUUGUCUUUGAGCUCAUCAUGAAUUCCAUGAAGACUGAAGAGAGCAAGUCAUU